UAACCUAACUGUAAAUUUUUACCCUGUAACCUGCUUACCCCAUUUCUUCUUAUCCUGGGGACCACCACUCUGCACUGUUUCUAUUUAUUCAACUUUAGUUUUUAAUAGUCUAUGUAUAAAUACAAUCAUAUAUUAUUUUUAUUUCUUUGUUUUGUUUCACAGAAUACCCUCCACAUUCUUCCAAAUUAGCACAAAUGGCAGUAUGCCCUUUUUGAAGACUGAAUAACACUUCACUGUGUAUGUUAUAUGUGUACUACACAAUUUCUUUACUCAUCUGAUGACAGGGUCUUACUAUCCUGUUGAUGCUGGCCUCAAACUCAAAUUUGUGGUAAUCCUGCUUUGGCCUUUUGACUGCUGGAAUUUCAUGCAUGCACCAAUACACCAGACUUAGUAUUGAUAAUGGUUAAUAUUAGAAGUGUCUGUCAAAAUGAAAACAUGAAUCUAUGCAUCAAUAAGCACUAAUAAAAAUUUUGAAAAAUA
Cavia porcellus (domestic guinea pig) is the source of this 480-nucleotide long non-coding RNA. RefSeq lists it as uncharacterized. Lineage: Eukaryota; Metazoa; Chordata; Mammalia; Rodentia; Caviidae. The record is from RefSeq and is a predicted model, not a curated record. The transcript is spliced from 2 exons.